AGACAGCAUUUUAUUUGGAUAAUAAUUAUAGUACUAAAUUUGUUAAUUAAGCUCUAAAACCCUUAAGAAAAAAGAAAUUUAAAAGCAUCUUGUCUUCUUUCAUACCCAGCACAUCAUUGCUGCAUUCAGAGUUCAAGUAUAACAGAAUAUGUAAACAGUUUAAUGCAGUAACAUUGCACUCAUUUGGGGAAGAGAGUAGAGAGGAAUGGGGCCCUUGUUCCUCAGAACCAAGGCUUCUGUUCAAAAGCUUCUUUAAAUACUUGAGUGCUAGCAUUCUUAAAUACGCAGAACAAGCAGCUUUGGUGGAAGGGUUUUGAUCUCCUGAGCAUACACACUCCUACAUUCAAGGUAUGUUUCAUUCAAGAGACCUGCGGUUAUAUAUUCAAGUAGGCAGCUGCACAUAAGACCGCUUUCUUCAUUCUAGCGGUUUUUCCCCUAGAGCAAGCUUUAGCAGUUACUACACAUUGUAAACAGUUCUUAAUGGAUAGGCAGAGACAGCACCCCUAGUGGACUCCAAGCUCAAAAUUACCAACUUAAUUUCCUCCUAGUUCUAUAAUCUCAUUCCACUCCAAAAGGUCAAAGUUAAAAAUAUGCACCAAGUGCAGAGUGCAUCAACCUUUACCCUCCUUUCAAAAGAUUUUUACCACCCUAUUGUGCAAUAUUUAUCAGGAAACCGCUAGUGACCUUGCUACCAGUAUGAUGAUUGUGUUUCUCUUCAAACAGGAUAGAGCUCUUUGUAGCUAUCAGGCUCAUUACAUUACAAAUACAUAUCCAUCCGGCUGAAGAUAACUACAACAGAUAUCUAAUCCUGACACAGUGUGCUCCAAGGUUUCUCUCCCUCCCUUUCUGUCCCAUUCUGCAUUAGACACCAGGCCAGAAGGGCUUAAAUUCUGCUUCCAAGUAACACAUUCUGACUUAGAACAGGAAUUGACAGGUAGAUGUAGUGCUGAACUUGAUCAUACUUCCCUCACCACUUCUUCCCACUUCAGAAACAUUUAGAGUCUAAGACUUCUAAAAGUAAAAGUAAGCAAGAAACUAACUGUUGUUUUAGGUCAGAAUAUUCUAGUAUAUUGAGGCUGGAAGUCCUAAUUGCCUAUGAAAAGGGUUAGAGCAGAAACUGCUUACUUUUAACUAUGCAUCUGAUUGUCAGGGCUGCUGGACUAAAGGUUGGUAAAAAAUAAAAAAAAAAGAAAAAGAAUAGGUAGAUGUGCUUCCCUGCCUCCACAGUACUGUUCAACCUAUUUUCAGCACCAGUACAAGACACUGCUAGGUACCUAGACAUCCCAAUUGCUGUGAAGUCCCACUCUUUGGAUUACUAAGUUAAACCUCAGGAGAAAGACAAUUGUAUCCAGUAUUUGCC
RNAcentral lists this long non-coding RNA (1360 nucleotides) under Strigops habroptila (Kakapo). RNAcentral describes it as "lncRNA (ENSSHBG00005014635.1)". The record is from RNAcentral. Lineage: Eukaryota; Metazoa; Chordata; Aves; Psittaciformes; Psittacidae.